Bactrocera tryoni is the source of this 154-nucleotide long non-coding RNA. RefSeq lists it as uncharacterized. The record is from RefSeq and is a predicted model, not a curated record. NCBI's taxonomy places the organism in Eukaryota, Metazoa, Arthropoda, Insecta, Diptera, Tephritidae. The transcript is spliced from 3 exons.
GAAGAAAACGAAAAGCGCAGUUUAUUUUGGAUUUUAAAGAGAGAAACUAAAAGGCUUAACUAGGAGAAAAAGAAAACAUUUGGAGGAUUCAAGUAUAUUGGGUACAACAAACAAAUAAGAGAGUAAGUUUUAAAUUAGUAAAGCUAAAUAGCGC